UACCAGCACCCCGAGUGGUCGGGACGAUUAUUGGGCCUAAAGCAUCCGUAGCCGGUUCUACAAGUCUUCCGUUAAAUCCACCUGCUUAACAGAUGGGCUGCGGAAGAUACUAUAGAGCUAGGAGGCGGGAGAGGCAAGCGGUACUUAGUGGGUAGGGGUAAAAUCCGUUGAUCCAUUGAAGACCACCAGUGGCGAAGGCGGCUUGCCAGAACGCACUCGACGGUGAGGGAUGAAAGCUGGGGGAGCAAACCGG
This 253-nucleotide ribosomal RNA is filed under the name uncultured bacterium. Its description in RNAcentral is "partial 16S ribosomal RNA". It matches the Rfam family "Archaeal small subunit ribosomal RNA", at positions 474 to 727 of the family's 1478-position model. The record is from RNAcentral.